Molecule: long non-coding RNA, 1374 nt
Organism: Patella vulgata (common limpet)
Lineage: Eukaryota; Metazoa; Mollusca; Gastropoda; Patellidae
Exons: 6
Source: RefSeq, a predicted model, not a curated record
GAAAAAAAACUUGUGUUGGAUCUCAACACAAGUACUUGUGUGAAAAUUAUUCUACACAAGUUAUGUGUUGUUUUGCAUUGCAUUAACACAAACUUGUGUUCUUUUUAAUGCAUUAACACAAAUCUUGUGUUUUUUCCAUAUAAUUAACACAAGUAAUGUGUACCGUCAACAAAUAUUUUUUUUUUUAAAUUUGAACUCCAUACAAAGUCUUAAUUCGGGGGACCACAAGUAAGAGAAAGGUAUUUUUUACUCAGACAAUAUAGCCAGACAGACUUGAAUGCUAAUUGGUGUUAAGAUGUCUGUAGUUAAAAUAAAGUUGGGCCCAAUAAACUGGUAGAUCAAAGGCCUGUUGAGCGCUCAUGCCCGGUGUGAUUUUAACAAUUGACUCCAAAUGCGUUGACAAGAAAAUAAGUAAAACUGUUAUUGAAUGUGAUUGGUUGAUAAAAUCAACGUACUAUAGGCUACAUUUUGUCUGCGAUGUCAUCUCGGUGGAAGCGGACAUUAAAUGAAGUGAUUUCACACAAUUAAUUUAACAUUUAACAACGUGCUGAAAUGAUUUUGGAGCAGUGAUAUGUUUGACAAAUGUAAGCUAAUGGUCACAUAGAAUACAAGACCGCAGUCAGUGAUGAUAUGACUCAUUCCACCUUACAGUUACAGCAAUUACCGUAUUGAGAAUUUACCGUUCAAGGACUCCAUUUUGGCAUUGAAUUGGAAUUUGAAGAAAAACUGUUUCAAUAUUGGAUGUAUAUGCAAAUCACCCAGGAAAAGAUCAUGUAAGAAAAGAAAUUAUAAAAGUAAAAAAAUGGAAGAAAUGGCUGGAAAAAAUGAUGAUAGAGCAGCUUUUUCUUGUUAGCCACCUCGGAAGAUCAAGACAGCUGGAAAGGGCUAUUGAUAUUGUGGAAGUGUUUUCUUACAGAGGUUGCUUAUCAGACAAAGGCUAUUUAACUACAUCAGAAAGAUAAAAACAGUUGGAAAUGGCUAUUCAUAUUGUGGAAACUUUUCUCACAGAGCUUGAUAAUCAGGCAAAAUGCUGGAACACCCUUGAAAGAGUAUUUGGUGUAUGAUAACAACAAGAGAACCCAAGCAUCAAUUUAUUUUAUACUUCUGGGAAAGAAUGCAUUUGACCCAAUUUUUAAAUAUUUAUUUUUUGUUAUUAAUGUUAAAUUUUCUUCCAAAACACAAUUAGAUUUUAAUUCUCUUCAAAUAUGUAUGUAUAAUAUAGCAAGUAAACUGACAUAUAAAUCACUUAGAAUUUGGUCGGAAAUCAUAAAGUAUUUAAUAGGCAUUACUAGAAACCAAAUGUAGAUCAAAUACACCCAGAAUUACAAAAAACCUUGACCUACAUUAAGGUGACUUUCCCUUGCUUAUAAAAUG